Molecule: ribosomal RNA, 253 nt
Filed under: uncultured bacterium
Lineage: Bacteria
Description: partial 16S ribosomal RNA
Rfam family: Bacterial small subunit ribosomal RNA
Source: RNAcentral
UACGGAGGGUGCAAGCGUUAUCCGGAUUCACUGGGUUUAAAGGGUGCGUAGGAGGGCAGGUAAGUCAGUGGUGAAAUCUCCAAGCUUAACUUGGAAACUGCCGUUGAUACUAUCUGUCUUGAAUAUUGUGGAGGUGAGCGGAAUAUGUCAUGUAGCGGUGAAAUGCUUAGAUAUGACAUAGAGCACCAAUUGCGAAGGCAGCUCGCUACUCAAUUAUUGACUCUGAGGCACGAAAGCGUGGGGAUCAAACAGG